RNAcentral lists this ribosomal RNA (253 nucleotides) under uncultured bacterium. RNAcentral's name for it is "partial 16S ribosomal RNA". It matches the Rfam family "Bacterial small subunit ribosomal RNA", at positions 524 to 776 of the family's 1533-position model. The record is from RNAcentral.
GACGAAGGGGGCUAGCGUUGUUCGGAAUUACUGGGCGUAAAGCGAGUGUAGGUGGUUGUCCAAGUUGGAUGUGAAAGCCUUGAGCUCAACUCAAGAAAUGCAUUCAGGACUGGGCGGCUAGAGGACCGGAGAGGAUAGUGGAAUUCCCGGUGUAGUGGUGAAAUGCGUAGAUAUCGGGAGGAACACCAGUGGCGAAGGCGACUUCCUGGCCUGUUCUUGACGCUGAGGCGCGAAAGCUAGGGGAGCAAACGGG